This 253-nucleotide ribosomal RNA is filed under the name uncultured bacterium. RNAcentral's name for it is "partial 16S ribosomal RNA". It matches the Rfam family "Bacterial small subunit ribosomal RNA", at positions 524 to 776 of the family's 1533-position model. The record is from RNAcentral.
UACGUAGGGUGCAAGCGUUGUCCGGAAUUAUUGGGCGUAAAGAGCUCGUAGGCGGUUUGUCACGUCGGCUGUGAAAACCCGAGGCUCAACCUCGGGCCUGCAGUCGAUACGGGCAGACUAGAGUUCGGCAGGGGAGACUGGAAUUCCUGGUGUAGCGGUGAAAUGCGCAGAUAUCAGGAGGAACACCGGUGGCGAAGGCGGGUCUCUGGGCCGACACUGACGCUGAGGAGCGAAAGCGUGGGGAGCGAACAGG